Molecule: long non-coding RNA, 318 nt
Filed under: Meriones unguiculatus (Mongolian gerbil)
Lineage: Eukaryota; Metazoa; Chordata; Mammalia; Rodentia; Muridae
Description: lncRNA (ENSMUGG00000015981.1)
Source: RNAcentral
ACAAGAAGAUGUGACCGUGGUGACCGGCAACAGUAGGGCCUGGUUACACUGAAUGUUCUUGGAAAUGUCUGAGAAGCCGGCCUGCCACUGCUCAAAUAAACUAAGGGCCAUUGACCAGUGAAGUGGCCAUCAUUCGUGAUGUGGUCUACAGUUGGUUCGACAAGUCAACAAGAGGACUGGACUGCCCUGGAAGCAAGCAGAAGUCUGGCUAAUACUCAGCCAGGCUGCCUUUAACACCAGCACUUGAAGGGCCAGCCUGGUCCACAAGGAGAAACCCUGAAAAAUAAAGUAAAAUACAUUGACUUACUAUAUACUUAG